RNAcentral lists this ribosomal RNA (543 nucleotides) under fungal sp. BLH 93. RNAcentral's name for it is "eukaryotic LSU rRNA". The stretch from base 181 to 334 matches the Rfam family "5.8S ribosomal RNA". The record is from RNAcentral. Lineage: Eukaryota; Fungi.
ACCUGCGGAGGGAUCAUUACCGAGUUUACAACUCCCAAACCCCUGUGAACAUACCUAUAAUUUGCCUCGGCAGACUCAACGACGGUGCUCCGAGAAAUCGGGCGCCGCUCGCUGCCAGAGGAACCCCAAACUCUAUGUAUUCUUGUGGAUCUUCUGAGUAAAACAAAACAAAUAAAUCAAAACUUUCAACAACGGAUCUCUUGGUUCUGGCAUCGAUGAAGAACGCAGCGAAAUGCGAUAAGUAAUGUGAAUUGCAGAAUUCAGUGAAUCAUCGAAUCUUUGAACGCACAUUGCGCCCGCCAGUAUUCUGGCGGGCAUGCCUGUUCGAGCGUCAUUUCAACCCUCAAGCCCUAGGCUUGGUGUUGGGGAUCGGCGAUAGUCGCCGUCCCCCAAAUCUAGUGGCGGUCUCGCUGUAGCCUCCAUUGCGUAGUAGCUAACACCUCGCAAUUGGAACGCGGCGCGGCCAAGCCGUUAAACCCCCAACUUCUGAAUGUUGACCUCGGAUCAGGUAGGAAUACCCGCUGAACUUAAGCAUAUCAAUAA